CGGGGUGCAGCAGGCGCGAAAACUUUACAAUGCUGGAAACAGCGAUAAGGGGACCUCGAGUGCCAGGUUACAAAUCUGGCUGUCGUGAUGCCUAAAAAGCAUUGCAUAGCAAGGGCCGGGCAAGACCGGUGCCAGCCGCCGCGGUAACACCGGCGGCUCGAGUGGUAACCGUUAUUAUUGGGUCUAAAGGGUCUGUAGCCGGCCGGAUAAGUCUCUUGGGAAAUCCAGCAGCUCAACUGUUGGGCUUUCAGGAGAUACUGUCUGGCUCGAGGCCGGGAGAGGUGAGAGGUACUUCAGGGGUAGGGGUGAAAUCUUGUAAUCCUUGAAGGACCACCAGUGGCGAAGGCGUCUCACCAGAACGGACCUGACGGCAAGGGACGAAAGCUAGGGGCACGAACCGGAUUAGAUACCCGGGUAGUCCUAGCCGUAAACGAUACUCGCUAGGUGUCGGCCACGGUGCGACCGUUGUCGGUGCCGUAGGGAAGCCGUGAAGCGAGCCACCUGGGAAGUACGGCCGCAAGGCUGAAACUUAAAGGAAUUGGCGGGGAG
This 549-nucleotide ribosomal RNA is filed under the name uncultured archaeon. Its description in RNAcentral is "bacterial SSU rRNA". It matches the Rfam family "Archaeal small subunit ribosomal RNA", at positions 326 to 875 of the family's 1478-position model. The record is from RNAcentral.